This 498-nucleotide ribosomal RNA is filed under the name Fusarium acuminatum. RNAcentral describes it as "eukaryotic LSU rRNA". The stretch from base 170 to 323 matches the Rfam family "5.8S ribosomal RNA". Lineage: Eukaryota; Fungi; Ascomycota; Sordariomycetes; Hypocreales; Nectriaceae. The record is from RNAcentral.
GCUGCGGAGGGAUCAUUACCGAGUUUACAACUCCCAAACCCCUGUGAACAUACCUUAAUGUUGCCUCGGCGGAUCAGCCCGCGCCCCGUAAAACGGGACGGCCCGCCAGAGGACCCAAACUCUAAUGUUUCUUAUUGUAACUUCUGAGUAAAACAAACAAAUAAAUCAAAACUUUCAACAACGGAUCUCUUGGUUCUGGCAUCGAUGAAGAACGCAGCAAAAUGCGAUAAGUAAUGUGAAUUGCAGAAUUCAGUGAAUCAUCGAAUCUUUGAACGCACAUUGCGCCCGCUGGUAUUCCGGCGGGCAUGCCUGUUCGAGCGUCAUUUCAACCCUCAAGCCCCCGGGUUUGGUGUUGGGGAUCGGCUCUGCCCUUCUGGGCGGUGCCGCCCCCGAAAUACAUUGGCGGUCUCGCUGCAGCCUCCAUUGCGUAGUAGCUAACACCUCGCAACUGGAACGCGGCGCGGCCAUGCCGUAAAACCCCAACUUCUGAAUGUGACC